ACUAGUGCCCGCACCAGGAGGCGCUACGGUGGUGAGUGCCGAUCCGCUUUGCAGAACCCAGGAAAACAAUAAAACCCUAUUUUCUCAGCAGUCGCUGAACUGUUUGUUCUGAAACGUUAGGGUUUCAUAAACGAGGUAAUGACGCAGAUACACACACACAUACGCAGCGUUAAUUGGAGCUUCCGGUCUAUGUCGCCUUUAAAGCUAUGGUUAAGUUCACAUUACCAGGGCUGCUGUGAGGACACAGAAAUACACAGAUUUGUUGUUUGCAUGUAUAUCAACUCUAGGACCACAUAAUCAGCUUGUGGCCAUACAACAUGAGUGAGAAGGUUGGGAUUGGAAUCCAUGAGUGUUGCAACUGAAACAAAGCGAAGCCAAAAACUGAGCGUGUGCACAUGUGGGCUGUUUCAGAAGACAGAUGUGUUGUGUUGACAAUGUGACUCGCUAUUUUAAGACAUUUAAGACCAUGUGGCCAUUGUGGUUGUCCUUGUACCAUAAUUUGUUCUUGUAUGUUUUCUCUGCAUGUUUUUAAUACGAGUCUUUAGUGAGUCUGGUAUGGAAACUGGUCGCCCAACAUGUGCUGCAUUCAUUCACUAAAGACAGGCAGGGCAUAUUACAGUACAUACAAGCCUCCUGUGGUUUCACAUUAAACUACAGCCACCAGUUACUCGACAGCAUCACCUCAUUUAUUUAUAUCAAUAUUUCCAAUUACACUUAAUAUCUGAUCUCACCCGCUAAAUUUAACGAGUUUCCAAGAAAGACUUGGCUGCACUGUUUGGUUUUGUUCCAGGUCCAUUGUGCAUGUGACUGUGUGACAAGUCAUCUAGAAUUGUGUCUGAGCUGGCAGACAUCAUCACCAUUUUGAAAAUAUGUAGAAGUAGAAGAAUCCCCGUUCCAGUUGCAGUAAAAGUAUCUGAAAAUGUGUCAUCAAGCUUAACGGAGGUUAACUUUGUGUUUGACUUCACAGGAGUCCGUUACCUGCUGGAUUCACCAACAGGACGAGAGGGCUCAGGAGUGACACAUCUUCCUCUAAGUUUGCCUGAGGCUCUGGUGCUGACAUGCCAUUUAAUGAGAUGCUCAAUUCCCUAAAGGAGACCCAGACUGAACUGUUGCUCCUGAUCUCCUGUCAAAACUUUCCCAGGAGGCUCCGUCUUGAGGUCGCCUUGCAUAUCAAAGCAAAUGGACAGUAGGCAGAUGGCGUUCACUGGGAGCUGGGAGUAUGCAGAGUGGCUGGAGCAACUUCCAAAAAAAAAAUCUGCAUUCAAAAGACUGAGCAGAAUAAAAGGAAUCCCAUGGUGAGUCUUGGGAUCUUUCUGGAACAGUCAGCUUUGAAGUGCGAUGUGGUGAACCAGUCUUGGUCAGAAACACCCUGCUGCAUCAGCAGUGACGAACAAUUCAAUGUGGCGUCCCCUUUCUUCUCAGCUCCAACGUGUGCAGGCCCUCCUGUCGACCCUGGGCAUGCUGCGUUCCGACUUUGUGGGCCAUCUCUGUGGCAGUGAUGUCAAUUAGGGCGUACUUGGUGGAGCUCUUCCCUGUUGAAACAAGUAUUUGAGCCAAGUCAACUUCAGAAAAUGCUGAAUUUUGACACCGGUUCCAUUUUCUAAACAAACAUGACAGAGGGUUCAGAGUAAAGCGGAUCUCUGCCCUUACUGCCAACAUGAUGGCUCGAGGUAUGCGCCCGAGUGUCACUACAUUAAACAAGAAUAUGCAAAUGA
Molecule: long non-coding RNA, 1715 nt
Organism: Solea solea (common sole)
Lineage: Eukaryota; Metazoa; Chordata; Actinopteri; Pleuronectiformes; Soleidae
Exons: 2
Source: RefSeq, a predicted model, not a curated record